GCUGCAAACGGGUUAUCGUUCGUUUGAUUUUUCGAACGAAAGGAAAGUCCGGACAGUAUAGAGCAACACACCGGUUAAUAGCCGGUCCGGCGCUGAGAUUUCGGUAAACCGGGAAGAUAGUGCCACAGAAAAUUACCGUCCCGAUUUUUAUCGGGAUAAGGGUGAAAACGUGAGGUAAGAGCUCACGAUAAUUACAAGUAAUUGUAAUUAUGGGUAAACCUUGUGUACUGCAAUGCCACGUAAAUCCCGGUAUGUCGCAAGGCAUUAUAAGCUGCUCGUUUAUAUUUCCGCUUUCGCGGAAUAACGGGAAGGGUAGGCAGCAAGAUUGUUGCAGUAAUGCAACAGCCAGAUAAAUGAUAACCGUCCGUCGCCUGGCGGACCACAGAAUCCGGCUUACAUGUUUGCAGUAAUU
This 412-nucleotide RNase P RNA is filed under the name Hanamia caeni. Its description in RNAcentral is "Bacterial RNase P class A". It matches the Rfam family "Bacterial RNase P class A". From Rfam's summary of the family: Ribonuclease P (RNase P) is a ubiquitous endoribonuclease, found in archaea, bacteria and eukarya as well as chloroplasts and mitochondria. Its best characterised activity is the generation of mature 5'-ends of tRNAs by cleaving the 5'-leader elements of precursor-tRNAs. The record is from Rfam by way of RNAcentral. Lineage: Bacteria; Pseudomonadati; Bacteroidota; Chitinophagia; Chitinophagales; Chitinophagaceae.